UACGUAGGGGGCAAGCGUUGUCCGGAAUUAUUGGGCGUAAAGAGUUCGUAGGCGGUUUUCUAAGUUUGGUCUUAAAGACCGGGGCUCAACCCCGGGAAUGGAUCGAAAACUGGGAGACUCGAGGAUGUUAGAGGAAAGUGGAAUUCCAAGUGUAGCGGUGAAAUGCGUAGAUAUUUGGAGGAACACCAGUGGCGUAAGCGACUUUCUGGGACAUUUCUGACGCUGAGGAACGAAAGCUCGGGGAGCAAACAGG
RNAcentral lists this ribosomal RNA (253 nucleotides) under uncultured bacterium. RNAcentral describes it as "partial 16S ribosomal RNA". It matches the Rfam family "Bacterial small subunit ribosomal RNA", at positions 524 to 776 of the family's 1533-position model. The record is from RNAcentral.